RNAcentral lists this long non-coding RNA (1517 nucleotides) under Coturnix japonica (Japanese quail). Its description in RNAcentral is "lncRNA (ENSCJPG00005002803.1)". The record is from RNAcentral. Lineage: Eukaryota; Metazoa; Chordata; Aves; Galliformes; Phasianidae.
CAAGGUGGUGGUGGGGCUUCUUCGCACAAGUGUGGGGGGGGGUCUUGCACAAGUGGGGGGGGGGCAAAGCUGGUGCCAGCAUCACACACACACACACACAUUGAUAUGGUGGUGCUAGGGGGGGUUUGCACGAGGAGCCAUUUAAACAAAGGGGGGUUCUUUUGCACGAGGAUGGUUUGCACGAGGAUGAUUUGCACGAGGGUUGUUUGUAUAAGGAGCCCUUUGCACGAGGAUGUCUUGCACAAGGAUCCAUUUGCACUAGGAUCUCUUGCACAAGGAGCCCCUUGCACGUGGAUCUCUUACACUAGGAACCCUUAACACAAGAAAUUAUUUGCACAAGGAUCUCUUGUACCAGGAGCCCUUUGCACAAGGAUCUCUUGCACAAGGAUCCAUUUGCAGUAGGAUCUCUUGCACCAGGAGCCCUUUGCACAAGGCUUGCUUGCACAAGGAUCCAUUUGCACAUGGGCCUCUUGCACACGGAACCCUUAACACAAGGAUCUCUUUACACAAGGAACCCGUUGCACAAGGAUCUCUUGCACAAGGAUCCAUUUGCACAAGGUUUGCUUGCACAAGGAGCCCUUUGCACGUGGAUCUCUUGCACAAGGAGCCGCUUGCACGUGGAUCUCUUACACUAGGAACCCUUAACACAAGGAUCUCUUGCAAAAGAAAUUAUUUGCACGAGGAUCUCUUGCACCAGGAGCCCUUUGCACAAGGAUGUCUUGCACAAGGAUCCAUUUGCACAACGAUCUCUUGUACCAUGAGCUCUUUGCACGAGGAAUUGUUGCACAAGGAGCCAUUUGCACACGGAUCUCUUGCACAAGGAGCCCUUUGCACAAGUAUCUUUUGCACAAGUAGCCUUGCACACAUUGAUCUCUUGCACAAGGAGUCCACUGCAGUAGGGUGUCUUACACAAGGAUCUCUUACACAAGGAACCAUUAACACAAGAAUCACUUGCACAUGGAGCCCGACACAAGAGGAUCUCUUGCACAAGGAUCUCUUUGCACAAGGACCUCUUGCACAGGAACUCAAUUGCACAAGGAUCUUUUACACAAGGGCCCCUUUGCACAAGGAUCUCUCGCACAAUAACUCAUUUGCACAAGGAUCUCUCGCACAAUAUCUCACACAAGGAUCUCUCGCAAAAGGACCCCUUUGCACAAGGAUCUCUUGCACAAGGACCUCUUUGCACAAGGACCUCUCACACCAGGCCCCCUUUGCUCAAGGAUCUCACACAAUAACCCAUUUACACAAGCAUCUCUCGCACAAGUAUCUCUUGCACAAUGACCCCUUACACAAGUACCUCUCGCACCAGGCCCCCUUUGCACGACUCCCCCCCCCUCACUGCUCCUCGUUCCCCCCCGUGAGCUUGUGGAACAGCUCCGUGUCCAUUUGCCGUCCCGCCGUGCGCCCCCCCAUGCACACGUACCCCCCCAGGUACUCGUGCACCGUCUGGCACGAGGCCGACACGACGCUGAACGCCACGUUCAAAUGCUCCUCGAACUCCAGCGCCACCUGGCGGA